Mandrillus leucophaeus (drill) is the source of this 862-nucleotide long non-coding RNA. RefSeq lists it as uncharacterized. NCBI's taxonomy places the organism in Eukaryota, Metazoa, Chordata, Mammalia, Primates, Cercopithecidae. The record is from RefSeq and is a predicted model, not a curated record. The transcript is spliced from 3 exons.
AAAACAUAUGAGGAAGAAAAUAGCAGAUGAGAAGAAUCAACCAAAUUCCGGAAGCUGGAAGGCAGAUGCAAAAAGCCCUUGAAAGAUGCCAGCACCUUGAUAUUGGGUUUCCCAGCCUCCAGAACCAUGAGCCAAUACAUUUCUGUUCCAUAAAAAUUACCCAGUUUCAGGUGUUCUGCUAUAGCAGCACAAAAUGAACUAACACAAUGUUGGCACAAGACUCAGUGCUGGGCCUGUCAUACAACAGGUCCUUGGAGUGGCGUGCUGUGUGGAUAAUGAAUGUUGGGGAAGGUGUCUCUCUCCAGCCCCUCUCAAGCUUUCUGUAGUCGCUGGUCCACUCUGUAUUGCUGUGAAGACGCUCAAGACCAGCCUGUAUCACUCCGGGUCCUGGCAGGACCCAGAAGCCAUUCUCAAACUGAGGCAUUGAAGAGGGUUUAAUAUGGGAGUUAUUUACAAAGGUGUGGGCUGGUGUAGCUGCCCAUAUGCCCUUGAAAUCACCUCUACAUGGCAAGAGCUACUUACUGCCAAAAGAGUCUCUCUCUCGUUGCUGCAAGUAUUUUCUAGCCAUGUGAGCAAGCUCAGACAGUUACGCUGAACAAACUAAGAGUGCCAGGAAGUUAAUGUUCUGGAAGCAUUGCCAGAGGGGAGGGGGCAGAUAGAUUCCUCAGCUUCCUCGCUGGGGACCUCAGUUGGGUUAAGCCCGUGACAUAUUUGUCAUCUCCCAGAGUGCUGCCCAGGGAUAGAGCUCUAGAUGUUCAGUGGUGGUGGUGACCUGCUCGUGUCAGCUUCUUCCCCUUUCCUGUCUUGUUUCUGCAGCCACAUCCUUCCCAUGUUUCCUCUUCCCAAAUAAACUACUUGCAUU